AUUGAACGCUGGCGGCAGGCCUAACACAUGCAAGUCGAGCGGAUGAAGGGAGCUUGCUCCUGGAUUCAGCGGCGGACGGGUGAGUAAUGCCUAGGAAUCUGCCUGGUAGUGGGGGAUAACGUCCGGAAACGGGCGCUAAUACCGCAUACGUCCUGAGGGAGAAAGUGGGGGAUCUUCGGACCUCACGCUAUCAGAUGAGCCUAGGUCGGAUUAGCUAGUUGGUAGGGUAAAGGCCUACCAAGGCGACGAUCCGUAACUGGUCUGAGAGGAUGAUCAGUCACACUGGAACUGAGACACGGUCCAGACUCCUACGGGAGGCAGCAGUGGGGAAUAUUGGACAAUGGGCGAAAGCCUGAUCCAGCCAUGCCGCGUGUGUGAAGAAGGUCUUCGGAUUGUAAAGCGCUUUAAGUUGGGAGGAAGGGCAGUAAGUUAAUACCUUGCUGUUUUGACGUUACCAACAGAAUAAGCACCGGCUAACUUCGUG
This 484-nucleotide ribosomal RNA is filed under the name uncultured bacterium. Its description in RNAcentral is "partial 16S ribosomal RNA". It matches the Rfam family "Bacterial small subunit ribosomal RNA", at positions 30 to 507 of the family's 1533-position model. The record is from RNAcentral.